GCUGCCGGGUCUGGCUCCCCGGGCGUGGGAUCUGUGUCCUUGAGCGGACGGUGGUUUGGGGGGACCCUGGGUCCUGGAGGAGGAAGAGGCUGGGUCCUCGGGCUCUAAGGUCUUGAGUCGAAGGGAGACAGGGAGUGGGUCUUAGAUCUGGUCCUAGAAGAAGGCGGUACUAGGGGUUCAGAUCCUUGGGUUCCCCGGGCGCCGGGGCCCUGGAAGACAGGCGCUUCUUCUUUUGUCGUCAGUUAUUAAAACCAUGCCCGGAAGCUCUGUGCCUUCCCUGCCCCCUCCACGAAGGUCAGCUCCCGGAAUCCUAGCCCUGGGGACGCGCAGCGGCACGUCGGGUCACAGCCGCUCGGACUAGCGUCUGAGCUGCGCGGACGCCCAGCCGCCCUAGGCAGCGUGCGGCUACGGGAGCUGGGCUGCUCGCGCCCUCUGUCGCUGGGGGUCGGGGCCCCGUGGGCAGUGGAGGGUCCUUUCCAGAUGCUACGGUCGCUAGUCCAGUCCGCUGUGCCGCCUUGAACACGUGGUGGGCACUGCGGAGUCGGUCCUGCGGGCUGUCAGUCUCUUAGCUCUGGGCAGGCUCGCAAGGACACAGCACCGGGGACAGCUGGAUGGUAAUCGCUCUUUCUCGCUUCUUAUGAAGCCACCAGGAUUAUCUAAUCCUAAUCACUUCCCAAAGGCCUCAUCUCUAAGCACCGUAGUCAGAUUAAGCUUCCGCCCUCUUAGUACUUUAGAGUGGGGAUUAAGUUUCAACAUGUGAAGCCUUGGGGGACACACUCAGGUCAUAUCCAAGCCUUAGCAUCUUCUGUAAUUGUUCCACUGAAAACGGGAUGUGAGCGGAGCGGUGAUGUGGUGGGUCUGGUAAAGCCGCCGCAUCCGAUAGGGUCGCCUGUUCAAGUUCCGGCAGCUUCAGUUCUGAUCCAGCUCUCUGCUAUGGCCUAGGAAGACAGUGGAGGAUGACCCAAGUCUGGGUCCCUGCACCACGUGGGAGACCCGGAAGAAGCUCCUGGCUCCUGGCUCCUGGCUUCAGAUCGGUGCAGCUGCGGCUGUUGCAGCCAUCUGGGUGUUUGAAAAGUUCUAAGAGCUCUCUGAAGAUUCUGAUGUGUGGUCAGUGUUGUGAACACUAGCACAGAGUGGACAUGCCAGGGAAGACCACAAUUUUUAGCUGCACAUAUGGCCACCCAGCUAAAGAUACAUCCUCCAGCUCCUCUCGCAGCCAGAUGGGGUCCAUCCGUGACGUCUGGGCCAAUGGGAAGUGGACGGAAGUGAUGUGUGCCUUUUCCGCAUUGUACCCCUGAAGUCGGAGGAGGGCCCUCCUUGUCCCUUCUUUGUUCCCUUCCAGUCUGCUCGAGUGUAGUUGUGGUGAGGAACAGAUGAGGGCAAAGCCACAGGCGAGAGAGAUUCACACAGAGAAGGAAUCUGUGUCUGGAAGAACCAAGCUGGUUAUACUCGGAUUGCUCCUGAGACAGAAAUAAACUGCUAUCGCGGUUCAGCCAGUGCGAUUCUGAGCCACAGUGACAGCAUUUGGACAAAGUGCCUACUUAAUGUAGAAGCUAACACAGAGAGGGAAGUGCAGGGAUGCAAGACGGGCAGAAACGAAGUCCUAGUGACCUCAGUGGAGUCCCUGAAGCCAGCCAUGCCUGAAGGCUUCAGCUUUACAGAUAAGUGAGAGAGGAUGAGUUCUAUUUUGUGUCUAACCCAUUCUAUGCCAUUAUUCUAUAAAGAUGUAAACUGAGCAAUAAAUGUAUCAGUUACGAUAACUUUGAAA
Non-coding RNA from Oryctolagus cuniculus (rabbit), 1768 nucleotides. The record is from RefSeq and is a predicted model, not a curated record. NCBI's taxonomy places the organism in Eukaryota, Metazoa, Chordata, Mammalia, Lagomorpha, Leporidae.